Molecule: long non-coding RNA, 185 nt
Organism: Populus euphratica (Euphrates poplar)
Lineage: Eukaryota; Viridiplantae; Streptophyta; Magnoliopsida; Malpighiales; Salicaceae
Exons: 2
Source: RefSeq, a predicted model, not a curated record
UUUUUAACAUAUAAGCUUAAGAGGACAAAAUUUGAUGGAUCCAGAUCAAUCAAUUCUUAAUCAUACGAAUUAAGGCUAAUGUACCAGAAAUUCAUAGUAAGUAAAGAAAAAAAAUCUUAUAUUUGGCUGAAUUGCCAAAUUUCCACGUAUAUGUACAAUUGAUACAACCACCAAAAAAAAAAAAA